UCUGGACAUCAGGAAAGGACUGCCCCACUUCUUUCAGUCUAUCUCUGUGCAACUCUGGACCCAUGGCAUUAUUCCUGAGGUGGGUUGCUAGCAGUCUUUCUCCCAAAAAGAGGAACGGAAGCAAUCCUCAACAGAGAAAAGGUACUUCAGUAAAUGUCUGUUGUGACAUUGCAGUCCUGCCAGGCUUCUAGCACAUAAGGAUACAUACAGUACAUCUGACUCAAAGACUGGAGGAAACCUUUGCGAUUAGCUGGCGUGACAUCCUCCAGGACCUCCAUCUCGCCCCAGGACCUCCGUCUCGCCCCAGGACCUCCGUCUCGCCCCAGGA
This 328-nucleotide long non-coding RNA is filed under the name Anser brachyrhynchus (Pink-footed goose). RNAcentral describes it as "lncRNA (ENSABRG00000003762.1)". The record is from RNAcentral. Lineage: Eukaryota; Metazoa; Chordata; Aves; Anseriformes; Anatidae.